This 253-nucleotide ribosomal RNA is filed under the name uncultured bacterium. RNAcentral's name for it is "partial 16S ribosomal RNA". It matches the Rfam family "Bacterial small subunit ribosomal RNA", at positions 524 to 776 of the family's 1533-position model. The record is from RNAcentral.
CACGUAGGGCGCGAGCGUUGUCCGGAAUUAUUGGGCGUAAAGAGCUCGUAGGCGGCCUGUUGCGUCCGCUGUGAAAGCCCCGGGCUCAACCUGGGAAUGGCGAUGGAUACUGGCUCGCUAGAGUGCGGUAGAGGAGAGUGGAAUUCCCGGUGUAGCAGUGAAAUGCGUAGAGAUCGGGAGGAACAUCAGUUGCGAAGGCGGCUCUCUGGACCAGCACUGACACUGAGGCACGAAAGCGUGGGGAGCAAACAGG